AUUGAACGCUGGCGGCAUGCUUUACACAUGCAAGUCGAACGGUAACAGGCCGCAAGGUGCUGACGAGUGGCGAACGGGUGAGUAAUGCAUCGGAACGUGCCCAGUCGUUGGGGAUAACUACUCGAAAGAGUAGCUAAUACCGCAUACGAUCUAUGGAUGAAAGCGGGGGACCGUAAGGCCUCGCGCGAUUGGAGCGGCCGAUGUCAGAUUAGGUAGUUGGUGGGGUAAAGGCUCACCAAGCCAACGAUCUGUAGCUGGUCUGAGAGGACGACCAGCCACACUGGGACUGAGACACGGCCCAGACUCCUACGGGAGGCAGCAGUGGGGAAUUUUGGACAAUGGGCGCAAGCCUGAUCCAGCAAUGCCGCGUGCAGGAAGAAGGCCUUCGGGUUGUAAACUGCUUUUGUAAGGAACGAAACGGCUCUGGUUAAUACCCGGGGCUAAUGACGGUACCGUAAGAAUAAGCAACGGCUAACUACGUG
This 482-nucleotide ribosomal RNA is filed under the name uncultured bacterium. Its description in RNAcentral is "partial 16S ribosomal RNA". It matches the Rfam family "Bacterial small subunit ribosomal RNA", at positions 30 to 507 of the family's 1533-position model. The record is from RNAcentral.